GACGAACGCUGGCGGCGUGCUUAACACAUGCAAGUCGAACGAGAGCGUAGAGAAAGCUUGCUUUUUCUACAAUCUAGUGGCAAACGGGUGAGUAACGCGUAAACAACCUGCCCUACGGAUGGGGACAACAGCUGGAAACGGCUGCUAAUACCGAAUACGUUCCGAAAGUCGCAUGACUAUCGGAAGAAAGGAUGGCCUCUAUUUAUAAGCUAUCGCCGGAGGAGGGGUUUGCGUCUGAUUAGCUAGUUGGAGGGGUAACGGCCCACCAAGGCGACGAUCAGUAGACGGUCUGAGAGGAUGAACGGCCACAUUGGAACUGAGACACGGUCCAGACUCCUACGGGAGGCAGCAGUGGGGAAUCUUCCGCAAUGGGCGAAAGCCUGACGGAGCAACGCCGCGUGAGUGAAGACGGCCUUCGGGUUGUAAAGCUCUGUUAUACGGGACGAAUAAUCUUGUGGUUAAUACCCAUGAGAAGUGACGGUACCGUAAGAGAAAGCCACGGCUAACUACGUGC
Molecule: ribosomal RNA, 514 nt
Filed under: uncultured bacterium
Lineage: Bacteria
Description: partial 16S ribosomal RNA
Rfam family: Bacterial small subunit ribosomal RNA
Source: RNAcentral